This 878-nucleotide ribosomal RNA is filed under the name Phoma herbarum. RNAcentral's name for it is "partial large subunit ribosomal RNA". It matches the Rfam family "Eukaryotic large subunit ribosomal RNA", at positions 68 to 964 of the family's 3401-position model. The record is from RNAcentral. Lineage: Eukaryota; Fungi; Ascomycota; Dothideomycetes; Pleosporales; Didymellaceae.
ACAGGGAUUGCCCUAGUAACGGCGAGUGAAGCGGCAACAGCUCAAAUUUGAAAUCUGGCGUCUUUGGCGUCCGAGUUGUAAUUUGCAGAGGGCGCUUUGGCAUUGGCAGCGGUCCAAGUUCCUUGGAACAGGACGUCACAGAGGGUGAGAAUCCCGUACGUGGUCGCUAGCCUUUACCGUGUAAAGCCCCUUCGACGAGUCGAGUUGUUUGGGAAUGCAGCUCUAAAUGGGAGGUAAAUUUCUUCUAAAGCUAAAUACUGGCCAGAGACCGAUAGCGCACAAGUAGAGUGAUCGAAAGAUGAAAAGCACUUUGGAAAGAGAGUUAAAAAGCACGUGAAAUUGUUGAAAGGGAAGCGCUUGCAGCCAGACUUGCCUGUAGUUGCUCAUCCGGGUUUUUACCCGGUGCACUCUUCUAUAGGCAGGCCAGCAUCAGUUUGGGCGGUUGGAUAAAGGUCUCUGUCAUGUACCUCUCUUCGGGGAGAACUUAUAGGGGAGACGACAUGCAACCAGCCUGGACUGAGGUCCGCGCAUCUGCUAGGAUGCUGGCGUAAUGGCUGUAAGCGGCCCGUCUUGAAACACGGACCAAGGAGUCUAACAUCUAUGCGAGUGUUUGGGUGUCAAGCCCGAACGCGUAAUGAAAGUGAACGGAGGUGGGAACCUUUCGGGGUGCACCAUCGACCGAUCCUGAUGUCUUCGGAUGGAUUUGAGUAAGAGCAUAGCUGUUGGGACCCGAAAGAUGGUGAACUAUGCUUGAAUAGGGUGAAGCCAGAGGAAACUCUGGUGGAGGCUCGCAGCGGUUCUGACGUGCAAAUCGAUCGUCAAAUUUGGGCAUAGGGGCGAAAGACUAAUCGAACUAUCUAGUAGCUGGUUCCUGCCGA